Long non-coding RNA from Lathyrus oleraceus (garden pea), 943 nucleotides. RefSeq lists it as uncharacterized. The transcript has 3 exons. The record is from RefSeq and is a predicted model, not a curated record. Lineage: Eukaryota; Viridiplantae; Streptophyta; Magnoliopsida; Fabales; Fabaceae.
AAAAACUCUAAAUGGCCUAAUUAAAAACAAUUAAAAUUAAACAAAUAAACAACAAAAAUGAACAAAAACAAAUAAACAACAAAAAUGAACAAAAACUAAAUAGCACCGGGAAUUGCCUCAGGCGCGGUGGCCACCAUAAACAACCAUCAGAUACAGCAAAGAAUCUGUUUCUACCUCCCCAAUCCAAAUCUUCCUUGAAUUUCAACCAAAUCUGAAUCUAUCCUCAAAAUCGGACAAAAGAAUUCAAGAACCCUAGGAGUUCAACCAUUAAUUACACAGCGAAGGACAAGAUUCAGAGCCAUAAUUGUUAGGGAUUUAAAUCGCCAUGAUGCAAGCUACAACAUGAUAACCUAAUUGCAAUAGAAUCAUGAAGAUGAACCUACCUCCGAAGCUGAGAAUUACUCCGCCAAAGUGUUGGAUCGGAGAAGAUGAAGCAGCGAUGGGAAAAUCACUUGAAAUCUGGUUUCAUCAUGUUCAUGGUGAUGAUGGUGUGUCAAGGCUUGAUAGAUGUUGCUGGAGGUUAUGAUAUGUGGAUGUAGGGCAUGGCUGUAAGUUCAAGGCAGAUGUGUAUUGAUGCAACAAGUCAUGGUGAGGUUGCAGCAGGUCAAUGGUCAUGGUUGGUGAGGUCAUGUUUUGCUUGCUUGGCAUGGAACUACAUGAAAGCUCAUGGUGAUGGUUUGGAGAAAACUAAGUUUACUUGCUCAUGAAGAAAUGUUUGGUCAUGCAAUCAAGUGAAAGGAUGCAAAAUAAUGAAGAAUCAAUGUGGAAAUUAUGCGUUAGGUCUAGGAAUUGGGUCGGUUGACUUUGGUUAAUUGGUUGACCAAAAAGCCAACAGUUGACCAAAAGUCAAAUGUAGGUCAAACUUUAUUUUUUUGUAAAAAAAAUUUGUAUGAAACUUUGUAAAUGUACUUGUGUGAAUGAAAUGGACCAUUGAAUUGAAAUA